This is a long non-coding RNA of Rosa chinensis, 351 nucleotides long. RefSeq lists it as uncharacterized. The transcript is spliced from 5 exons. The record is from RefSeq and is a predicted model, not a curated record. NCBI's taxonomy places the organism in Eukaryota, Viridiplantae, Streptophyta, Magnoliopsida, Rosales, Rosaceae.
GUGUUCAACAAAUGAAAUUAAGUUUCAAUGUAGAGAGUUGAGCAAUGCCAUAUAUCUUGAGAAGGCCAAGUAUUGGGACACUUCAAAGCUUCAAGUCAUAUCCUUCUUGCUGAAGGCUUUAUUCAAAGAAGAGGGCGUGCAGAUUGUCCGUAUCAAAGAAGUCAUGAAGAAGCUAUAAAGAGGAGGUUUGGAAUCCAAAGAAGGGGAUUUCAGCUGAGAAAAGCUGCCCAAAAAUGUUUGCAUUUAGAGAAGGGAAUGAUGGACUGCCCACAUGCAAAGUGCACUCCUUCUAUCAGAUUGUAAUGGCAGAGCUUGAGAAGUUGGGUCAGAAAUAUCGUGUGGCUCUGAGGU